GAUGAACGCUGGCGGCGUGCCUAAUACAUGCAAGUCGAGCGAACGGACGAGAAGCUUGCUUCUCUGAUGUUAGCGGCGGACGGGUGAGUAACACGUGGAUAACCUACCUAUAAGACUGGGAUAACUUCGGGAAACCGGAGCUAAUACCGGAUGAUAUUUUGAACCGCAUGGUUCAAAAGUGAAAGACGGUCUUGCUGUCACUUAUAGAUGGAUCCGCGCUGCAUUAGCUAGUUGGUAAGGUAACGGCUUACCAAGGCAACGAUGCAUAGCCGACCUGAGAGGGUGAUCGGCCCCCCCGGAACUGAGACACGUUCCCGACUCCUACGGGAGGCAGCAGUAGGGAAUCUUCCGCAAUGGUCGAAAGACUGACGGAGCAACGCCGCGUGAGUGAUGAAGGUCUUCGGAUUGUAAAACUCUGUGAUUAGGGAAGAACAUAUGUGUAAGUAACUGUGCACAUCUUGACGGUACCUAAUCAGAAAGCCCCGGCUAACUACGUG
Molecule: ribosomal RNA, 497 nt
Filed under: uncultured bacterium
Lineage: Bacteria
Description: partial 16S ribosomal RNA
Rfam family: Bacterial small subunit ribosomal RNA
Source: RNAcentral